This is a long non-coding RNA of Tachysurus vachellii, 464 nucleotides long. RefSeq lists it as uncharacterized. The transcript is spliced from 3 exons. The record is from RefSeq and is a predicted model, not a curated record. Lineage: Eukaryota; Metazoa; Chordata; Actinopteri; Siluriformes; Bagridae.
GGAAAACCGACUCCAACCUACAUUGGCCCAGGCUAGCUCCUGCAAUCUGACUAUAAGUUUAAAAAACAGUUCUAAGUAAAAAUUCAAAGAAGAAAUGAUCAGCCAAACUCACGAAGACUGGAUUCAGUUGAGACUUUAUUCUGCUUCAUGAGAUCUUUGUCGACACGACCUACUUUCUCCAUGGCUUCAAUCUCAGCUUGGGUCGCUCAACUGUUGGAUGAAACCAACCUUUCUACACCAUCACCAACUGCUGGUCUUCUCACUGAGGUCAUCACUCAUUAUAUCCAGGAUAUGGAGAGUCGUGGUCGACCCAGUGACACAUCUGCACAUCUGUUAAGGGAGUUGAUGUCUCAACACAGACUGCUAUAGUUGUUACCAAGUUCUACUCAGACUUUUUCAGCCUCAUCCACACGCACCCAGGCUACUCAAGCUCCAUGGCGUGUUAAUAAAAGGACUCAAUAUCC